CAGCCGCCACGGUAAUACCGGCGGCCCGAGUGGCGGCCACUAUUAUUGGGCUUAAAGCGUCCGUAGCCGGGUUGGUUAGUCUCCCGGGAAAUCUGGCCGCUUAACGGUCAGAAUUCCGGGAGAUACUGCCAGCCUAGGGACCGGGAGAGGCCGAGGGUAUUCCCGGAGUAGGGGUGAAAUCCUAUAAUCCCGGGAGGACCACCUGUGGCGAAGGCGCUCGGCUGGAACGGGUCCGACGGUGAGGGACGAAGGCCAGGGGAGCAAACCGGAUUAGAUACCCGGGUAGUCCUGGCUGUAAACGAUGCGGACUUUGUGUCGGACAAGCUAUGAGCUUGUCCGGUGCCGGAGGGAAACCGUUAAGUCCGCCGCCUGGGGAGUACGGCCGCAAGGCUGAAACUUAAAGGAAUUGGCGGG
Molecule: ribosomal RNA, 414 nt
Filed under: uncultured microorganism
Description: bacterial SSU rRNA
Rfam family: Archaeal small subunit ribosomal RNA
Source: RNAcentral